This 164-nucleotide unclassified non-coding RNA is filed under the name uncultured Hypocreales. Its description in RNAcentral is "sequence contains ITS1". The record is from RNAcentral. Lineage: Eukaryota; Fungi; Ascomycota; Sordariomycetes; Hypocreales.
CAGAGUGUAAAAACUCCCAAACCCAUUGUGAACAUACCAUUGUUGCUUCGGCGGAUGCGCCCCGGGCGCGCCCUCACAGGCGUGCCCCGGAUCCAGGCGCCCGCCGGGGGACCGAAACUUCUGUUUUUAUAGAGAAUCUCUGAGUAUGAUUAUAAAUCAAAUCA